AUUGAACGCUGGCGGCAUGCUUUACACAUGCAAGUCGAACGGUAACAGGGAAAAGCUUGCUUUUCUGCUGACGAGUGGCGAACGGGUGAGUAAUACAUCGGAACGUGCCCUGUAGUGGGGGAUAACUACUCGAAAGAGUGGCUAAUACCGCAUACAACCUGAGGGUAAAAGUGGGGGACCGCAAGGCCUCACGCUAUAGGAGCGGCCGAUGGAAGAUUAGGUAGUUGGUAGGGUAAAGGCCUACCAAGCCGACGAUCUUUAGCGGGUCUGAGAGGACGAUCCGCCACACUGGGACUGAGACACGGCCCAGACUCCUACGGGAGGCAGCAGUGGGGAAUUUUGGACAAUGGGGGCAACCCUGAUCCAGCAAUGCCGCGUGAGUGAAGAAGGCCCUUCGGGUUGUAAAGCUCUUUUGUUUGGGAAGAAAUCCCUAAGGAUAAUACCCCUUGGGGGAUGACGGUACCAAAAGAAUAAGCACCGGCUAACUACGUGCCAGCAGCCGCGGUAAUACGUAGGGUGCAAGCGUUAAUC
Molecule: ribosomal RNA, 531 nt
Filed under: uncultured bacterium
Lineage: Bacteria
Description: bacterial SSU rRNA
Rfam family: Bacterial small subunit ribosomal RNA
Source: RNAcentral